CGUAGGGGCGGGUGCGACGGACCCUGGUGAACCCCGCCAGGCCCGAAAGGGAGCAACGGUAGCCAGGCUCUCCGGGUGCUGCCCGUUUCCUACGUAGC
RNAcentral lists this signal recognition particle RNA (98 nucleotides) under Caldimicrobium sp. RNAcentral describes it as "signal recognition particle sRNA small type". It matches the Rfam family "Bacterial small signal recognition particle RNA". Rfam says of the family: The signal recognition particle (SRP) is a universally conserved ribonucleoprotein involved in the co-translational targeting of proteins to membranes. Lineage: Bacteria; Pseudomonadati; Thermodesulfobacteriota; Thermodesulfobacteria; Thermodesulfobacteriales; Thermodesulfobacteriaceae. The record is from RNAcentral.